UGGCGGCGUGCUUAACACAUGCAAGUCGAACGCUGAAGCACCAGCUUGCUGGUGUGGAUGAGUGGCGAACGGGUGAGUAAUACGUGAGUAACCUGCCCUUGACUCUGGGAUAAGCCCGGGAAACUGGGUCUAAUACUGGAUGCUACAUGUCACCGCAUGGUGGUGUGUGGAAAGGGUUUACUGGUCUUGGAUGGGCUCACGGCCUAUCAGCUUGUUGGUGAGGUAAUGGCUCACCAAGGCGACGACGGGUAGCCGGCCUGAGAGGGUGACCGGCCACACUGGGACUGAGACACGGCCCAGACUCCUACGGGAGGCAGCAGUGGGGAAUAUUGCACAAUGGGCGAAAGCCUGAUGCAGCGACGCCGCGUGAGGGAUGACGGCCUUCGGGUUGUAAACCUCUUUCAGCAGGGAAGAAGCCACAAGUGACGGUACCUGCAGAAGAAGCGCCGGCUAACUACGUGCCAGCAGCCGCGGUAAUACGUAGGGCGCAAGCGUUGUCCGGAAUUAUUGGGCGUAAAGAGCUCGUAGGCGGUUUGUCGCGUCUGCUGUGAAAGUCCGGGGCUUAACCCCGGGUGUGCAGUGGGUACGGGCAGACUAGAGUGCAGUAGGGGAGACUGGAAUUCCUGGUGUAGCGGUGGAAUGCGCAGAUAUCAGGAGGAACACCGAUGGCGAAGGCAGGUCUCUGGGCUGUUACUGACGCUGAGGAGCGAAAGCAUGGGGAGCGAACAGGAUUAGAUACCCUGGUAGUCCAUGCCGUAAACGUUGGGCACUAGGUGUGGGGGACAUUCCACGUUUUCCGCGCCGUAGCUAACGCAUUAAGUGCCCC
Molecule: ribosomal RNA, 826 nt
Filed under: uncultured Kocuria sp.
Lineage: Bacteria; Bacillati; Actinomycetota; Actinomycetes; Micrococcales; Micrococcaceae
Description: bacterial SSU rRNA
Rfam family: Bacterial small subunit ribosomal RNA
Source: RNAcentral